UUAUUUGAUUUAGAUGCAGAUUGGAGAACGACCUGAGCCCAAUUUCUCACCUGAACCUGAUAGAGUUCUAUCCCUACCCUCAGUGUUUCGUGGCAGAACAAGGCCUCAAAAUACCUUCACCAAGCGAAGAACUGUAGCUGGAAGGGCCCGGGUGGUGAUUAGAGACGUCCUAUGUAUGCCAUUUAGUACACCUCAGCAAGAGGAUAAUUCUUGGAAAGCACCAAGAGGUCAGGACAAGGAGAAAUAGGCUUCUGUCGGGCUGACAGGGAAACUUAAUCUGGACUCUACAUGGAAUUCUCAGGAGGUGCAACAUGAAAUUCGAUCAUUCUUCCAAACAACGUUCUGCGCAGAUGGAGAAGAGUUUGUUUUUUCAUUUUUACAGUGUUUGCCAGGUGGAAGGAAACUGAUCAAACCCAACACCUCUGUCAGUUUUUCUUGGAAUGGUGCCGAAGUCAUUAGUCUUGCAGGACAAGGAGCUCUGUACAUUCUUAGUCACCACAACCUGCCAGAAAGUGAGGAACAUGAAUCACCAAGUAAGGAGACUCUGUCUUUCCUCAGUUCUACCAAUUCAUUGACCCAUCAAAUAAAUCUUGAAAAUGAUGUUCAGCAGCUAAAACAGGUAAGGGACAGGAGAUGUUACACAUAUAUAUUAGUACCCCUGUAUUUAUUUAUUUUUCUUGCUCUCUCCAGUCUUGUUUCAUCAUAUUGAGUUAAGUAACCUGGUCUUAAAUGUUAAACUAUUCGCUUAUGGAAAACUAAAAAUAUAAUAUGUACAGGAUCACUAAUUCCAGGCAAUUAAGUUCCUAGUGGUUUAAUAAACUGAUCAGGUGAGGUCCUUUGUAGGAC
This is a long non-coding RNA of Acipenser ruthenus (sterlet), 846 nucleotides long. RefSeq lists it as uncharacterized. The record is from RefSeq and is a predicted model, not a curated record. Lineage: Eukaryota; Metazoa; Chordata; Actinopteri; Acipenseriformes; Acipenseridae. The transcript is spliced from 4 exons.